AGAAUCCACUGCCGCUUCCAUGCAGGGAGGACCGGGGGAGCCGCAGCCCCACUCUGAGCAAUUCUGCAAGAGAGCUUCAGCAAAAUUCCAAAACAAUCGCAUUGAGAGUCGGCACAACCCAGGUCUCCCGACUUGGGUUCCAAGCGAAGUUUCUUUUGUCGUUUGCUCGCCUCCAGGGAUGCAGUCUCUACACUCUCUGUGGGACGGAGGGGGAACUUCAGUGGAGGGAACAUUAAAUAUUAGGAAACCCGAAGAAAAAGCAAAAGCAACUGCUGUCUCAGGCUGCCCUUCCGAGGUUCGUAGUCCGGGAACGAUGAAGGGAGACUGCCACCUAUGGGCCAGGUUCCAGGGACGCCCGCACGUGGGGUUCUGUGGGACAGACGCAGUCUUAAGGUAGAAGGGAAGGCGUCUUCGUGGGACGGCUGGAGUGUGAUGGCGCAAUCUUGGCUCACUGCAACCUCCGCCUCCCGCGUUCAAGCAAUUCUCCUGCCUCAGCUUCCCAAGUAGCUGAGAUUACAGACGCCUGCCACCACACCCGGCUAAUUUUUGUACUUUUAGUAGAGACGGGGUUUCACCACAUUGGCCAGGCUGGUCUAGAACUCCUCACCUCAGGUGAUGCACCUGCCUCGGCCUCCCAAAGUGCUGGGAUUACAGGCGUGAGCCACCGUGCCCAGCUACAUUUAUCAUCUUUUUAAACAACCUGCACAUGGCAGCAUUUUCUACACUCAGUUCUUCUUGCUUUUGUCUCUUACUACUGUAUAAUGGAGACGGUUCCAUAUCAGUUCAGUCAGUGCUGCUUCAUUCUUUUGAUGGGCAACACAGUUCCCCCCUGCAAGGAUAUAGCCUAAUAUCCAUACCAGUUCUUUUUGAAUAACUUUUAAGUUGUUUAAAAUCCCUUGUUAUUACAAGCAAUGCUUAUGUAUAAGCAUAUCUAUAGAAUAAACUCCUAUGCAUAGAAUUACUAGGUCAAAUGGUAUAUAGACUUUACGAAAUAGUUUAAAUACAAAAAAAGUAUAAAAAAUAAAGCAACUAACAAUGUACCCAGCAUUAUUACAUCUCAACAAGGAAAAUCACAUUUCAUUUAGGAAGCACUGAAGUGUGAGGUCACUGAAGUCAUGAGUUAUUGCUAAUUUAUUUGGAAUAAGGGAGUUAUCUAAUUUUGCUUUGAAAUCUGGAAGCCUGAACUCAAAUGCUGCUAGGGUUGUAAAUGUAUUCCAUCUAGUGGGCUCAGCUGUGUUCAAAGUGGAUUGUUUUUUCUAACCAAUCACCUGUGUGUUCCUAAAUUUAGUUCUUUGCUGUGUUUGACCCUGAUCAAUGAGAUACACAGGCCUGGCCUGGCAAAAGGCCUGAAUUAGCUCAAAGGUAACUGCUUAGAUCAUGUAGCCUACCCCAAGUAUCCUGUCAUACAAGUGACUUUACAGGGAUUUGUUUUAUUCCUUAUUAGAUGGAAUGAGCUUUCCGUUUCAUUCUUAUCAUUUAAGUGAAUUGUGGCUUAAUGUAUUUGUAAAGGCAUACCGUGUAUCUAUGCAUAUGUGUUAUUUCCAUUAUGCUUUAUCUCAGGCCUCAUACCUUCUGCAAGGAUUUUCAUAAUGUUUUUCUGAAUGGGAAGCCAGGAGUUCUCUCUGUGCCUCAACCCCCUGCUCCCACAGCAUUCAUUCUCUUUGGGGGUUGCACAUAGGGUUAAGGAUUUCCAGUUUUCCUUUGAACAAUGAUUGCAGAUUUAAACACAGCUUGGUAACUUUCAGCCUAUUAUUUGUGUAAAUGGCUCUCUAGUGCUUUUAAAUUUACUUAAUUAAAAUUCUAGAAUGAUAUG
Molecule: long non-coding RNA, 1813 nt
Organism: Macaca fascicularis (crab-eating macaque)
Lineage: Eukaryota; Metazoa; Chordata; Mammalia; Primates; Cercopithecidae
Source: Ensembl